RNAcentral lists this ribosomal RNA (119 nucleotides) under Frullania chevalieri. Its description in RNAcentral is "partial 5.8S ribosomal RNA". It matches the Rfam family "5.8S ribosomal RNA", at positions 37 to 154 of the family's 154-position model. From Rfam's summary of the family: 5.8S ribosomal RNA (5.8S rRNA) is a component of the large subunit of the eukaryotic ribosome. It is transcribed by RNA polymerase I as part of the 45S precursor that also contains 18S and 28S rRNA. Lineage: Eukaryota; Viridiplantae; Streptophyta; Jungermanniopsida; Porellales; Frullaniaceae. RNAcentral also lists the same sequence under 4 other names. The record is from RNAcentral.
UGAAGAACGCAGCGAAAUGCGAUACCUAGUGUGAAUUGCAGAAUUCCGUGAAUCAUCGAGUUUUUGAACGCAAGUUGCGCCUGAGGCUCGUACCGAGGGCAUGUCUGUCUGAGCGUCCA